GGCGAUCUGGCAGAGUGGUCUAAUGCGAUUGACUUGAAUCCAACGUCACAUCAUCCGGUGUCCACUUACAAUCUCUCGUUCAACUAUCAAUUUCCCCCUGGGAGCACAGGUUCGAAUCCUGUGAUCGUCG
Molecule: non-coding RNA, 130 nt
Organism: Violaceomyces palustris
Lineage: Eukaryota; Fungi; Basidiomycota; Ustilaginomycetes; Violaceomycetales; Violaceomycetaceae
Source: the annotation of a GenBank genome assembly